Non-coding RNA from Coffea arabica (coffee), 114 nucleotides. NCBI's taxonomy places the organism in Eukaryota, Viridiplantae, Streptophyta, Magnoliopsida, Gentianales, Rubiaceae. The record is from RefSeq and is a predicted model, not a curated record.
GCUGAAUGGAAUGGCUGCAUGAUCAAGUUGUGGAAAAGUUUACUUGCAUACCAUCUCCAAGGAUCUGGCACAUCUAAUAGUUUCACUUUGGUUCUUCAGCAGUUUCUUUAGAAA